GGGGUAGUACUGGUUUCGACGGGGAUUUAGAAAUCAUGGCAGCCAUCCGAGGUGAGUGACCUCGUUAAAACAUUCAAAAAAAUAAACGCUGAUAAUAAAUUAGCACUCGCUGCCUAAUGGCAGCUGUCAGCCCUGUGUCGUCCGUUGCAUAGGGGUCUGGCGUCGAACCGACGGAGCACUUCCGGGACAAAGCUUGUAGUCCAGGGAAGAAUCACAAGCUACUGAAAGCCUGAGCCUGUGAGUGGGCGCUGGUCGUAGGGAAUGUUAAAACACUUACUGUGAUGGGAGAUACUGUGAUGGAAGGGUUUUCGGACGCGAGUUCAAUU
This 326-nucleotide transfer-messenger RNA is filed under the name uncultured Eubacterium sp. It matches the Rfam family "transfer-messenger RNA". Rfam says of the family: Bacterial tmRNA, also known as 10Sa RNA or SsrA, is named for its dual tRNA and mRNA-like properties. Its role is to liberate the mRNA from a stalled ribosome. The record is from RNAcentral. Lineage: Bacteria; Bacillati; Bacillota; Clostridia; Eubacteriales; Eubacteriaceae.